RNAcentral lists this non-coding RNA (30 nucleotides) under Rattus norvegicus (Norway rat). The record is from RNAcentral. Lineage: Eukaryota; Metazoa; Chordata; Mammalia; Rodentia; Muridae.
UCCAAGCAUAAAGCACGACCAGGUAGCCAA